GGGGCCGUAGUCUAGCCUGGCUAGGAUGCUCGGCUUGGGCCCGAGUGAUCCCGGGUUCAAAUCCCGGCGGCCCCACCA
This 78-nucleotide transfer RNA is filed under the name Vulcanisaeta distributa DSM 14429. RNAcentral's name for it is "tRNA-Pro (TGG) (tRNA-Pro-TGG-1-1)". It matches the Rfam family "tRNA". From Rfam's summary of the family: Transfer RNA (tRNA) molecules are approximately 80 nucleotides in length. Their secondary structure includes four short double-helical elements and three loops (D, anti-codon, and T loops). The record is from RNAcentral. Lineage: Archaea; Thermoproteati; Thermoproteota; Thermoprotei; Thermoproteales; Thermoproteaceae. RNAcentral also lists the same sequence under 4 other names.